Molecule: long non-coding RNA, 221 nt
Organism: Chionomys nivalis (European snow vole)
Lineage: Eukaryota; Metazoa; Chordata; Mammalia; Rodentia; Cricetidae
Exons: 3
Source: RefSeq, a predicted model, not a curated record
UUCUCUUUGAACUGAACUUUAUAAUCCAAAGAUGGCUCUCAGCUGCUGAAUGUCCUGACUUUACCUCCAGUAAAAGAUUUCUUCAGGGAGAUGGAACUUGCUUUGAUCUUGUGUGACAUUUUCCCCAUGGUUCAAGGGGUGUGGCUUUUCGCUUUGCCAGCAGUACAAAGUGUUCACCUGGUGACAAGACCUUUAGGGCAUAUGACUCAGGAAGAAAUCUG